GGCUUUGCGUCUAGUCCGGCGUCGCAGACCGGUUUCGCCAUGUCUCUUCCUCAAACGGCAUUGAGGGAGGCGAGCCUUGAGACAUUUUAUUCCCUGAGAAGCAGGCUCACUUUGAAGGUGCUUUGGUGUUGGGAGCCGCGCCCACAUUCGCCGUUACAAGAUGGCGCUGACAGCUGUGUUCUAAGUGGUAAACAAAUAAUCUGCGCAUGUGCCGAGGGUGGUUCUUCACUCCAUGUGCUCUGCCUUCCCCGUGACGUCAACUCGGCCGAUGGGCUGCAGCCAAUCAGGGAGUGACACGUCCUAGGCGAGGGAUAACUCUCCUAAAAUAGGGACGGGGUUUCGUUUUCUCUCUCUCUUGCUUCUUGCACUCUGGCUCCUGAAGAUGUAAGCAAUAAAGUUUUGCCGCAGAAGAUUCUGGUCUGUGGUGUUCUUCCUGGCCGGGCGUGAGAACGCGUCUAAUAACAAUUGGUGCCGAAUUCCGGGACGAGAAAAAACUCGGGACUGGCGCAAGGAAGAUCCCUCAUUCCAGAACCAGAACUGCGGGUCGCGGUAAUAAAGGUUCCCGUAAAGCAGACUGUUAAGAAGGAUUCAACUGUAUGAAUUCAGAACUUUUCAGCUGGGGAACGAGAGUACCAGUGAGUACAGCUUUACGAGGUAAGUCUGAUCUUGAACUUUCUAAGGAAAUUCAAGACAGUCUAUCAGAAGUAAAGUGGAAUAUGUUUGGCCUUGAAUUUUUUCUGGUGUUAGGAGCCCUUCUGUUCCUUUUCACAUGUUAUCAAGUGAUUAAGAUAGGGCUGAUUCUAGAGGAAAUUCAGGACAAUCUAUCAGAAGUAAAGCGGGGAGAGAGAGUAGGAGCAAAGAGAAAAUAUGGUACACAAAAUAAGUAUACAGGCCUUUCCAAGGGUCUUGAACCUGAGGAAAAGUUAAGGUUAGGUAGGAAUACCUGGAGAGAGAUUAGAAGAAAAAGAGGAAAAA
This 975-nucleotide long non-coding RNA is filed under the name Mus musculus (house mouse). RNAcentral describes it as "RIKEN cDNA A930015D03 gene". The record is from RNAcentral. Lineage: Eukaryota; Metazoa; Chordata; Mammalia; Rodentia; Muridae.